This 92-nucleotide small nucleolar RNA is filed under the name Candida maltosa Xu316. Its description in RNAcentral is "Small nucleolar RNA snR57". It matches the Rfam family "Small nucleolar RNA snR57". Rfam says of the family: snR57 is a member of the C/D class of snoRNA which contain the C (UGAUGA) and D (CUGA) box motifs. Most of the members of the box C/D family function in directing site-specific 2'-O-methylation of substrate RNAs. Lineage: Eukaryota; Fungi; Ascomycota; Pichiomycetes; Serinales; Debaryomycetaceae. The record is from Rfam by way of RNAcentral.
AAUUUGAUGAUUAAAACCAUUGAUAUCAAUUUUUUUCUUCUGAGGAUGUAUAUGCAGGAUAAAUAGUUAAGGAAUUCUUCGUUUAUGAAAUU